RNAcentral lists this long non-coding RNA (1881 nucleotides) under Homo sapiens (human). RNAcentral describes it as "non-protein coding lnc-PCBP3-3:9". The record is from RNAcentral. Lineage: Eukaryota; Metazoa; Chordata; Mammalia; Primates; Hominidae.
GGAAGAUGGGGGCACCUACAGUUGCAAGGUGGGCACCAGUUGUCAGGAGUUGACAGGAGGGCAUAGCCAGGAACAGCUGGUGUCUCCUUACUGGGACAUGCUGUGACCUGUAGAAUCGUGUCUGACCAUUUCUGGAGGAUGCAGUACUGAAUUCAAGUAACAAGGUGUCCUGUGAACCCCCCACAGUCAGAUGGGUGAGGGAUGGGGAGGGUCACGCAGGGUGUGGGCGGCGUGCCUGGCAUGGGUCCUGCCAAGUUCGUCAGGUAACGUGAUACUUCUCCCUUGCUUUUUGGUAGAUGGACAGUGUGUCACCCUCGGGGAGCAGGUGGGCUGGCAGGACAGGCGGCCCCAGGCCGGGAGAAGGAGACACUCCCAGACAGCACAAGUCAGUCUUCUGGUGAUUGUAACAGGAUGGUCACCUGAGAACAGUCAUCUACUGACACCCUGAACCAGAAUCUCCAGAAAAGACAGAAAUUUUGAAACAGCAGCAACAACAGAAAUUCAUGAUGUGCUAGGAGACAGGGAUGACUGCAGUCAGAGGACCAGAUGUCUUGAUUGAUUAUUAAGAGAGAGAAACAGGCGAUGUUUGUGGAAUCACAUCACCACAGAAGACAUGCAGACAGGCCUAAUGCAGAGAAGAGUGGAAGUUAGGACGCUCAGCGCAGAUUAAUGGACUCAGGGAGUUGGAGAGGGCUGGCUGGCAGCACUUACUCAGAGGAGCAGAGCCAGGUAUCCCCCUCAAACCCCCCGGCUUUGGGCCCAGGCAGUCAGAAGUUGUGUCGGGGCCAGCCACCAACUCCAGUGAGGGACAGGGAGCCACUUCCAGGAGAUGAAACAUUGUCACAUGCAGUCCAAAGACACCCCUCCUUCUCCCUGCUGCAACACCCGAGGCUGACCAAAGUAGACAGGAACAGUAUCCAGGAUGAGCAAACCAAGCCUCUCUAAAGCAAAACUGCCAACAAGCUGGGAACCACAGCACGCUGGAGGGAAACCAGCAGCAGGAGAAAGCAGCAGCAAGCACAGCAGAAAGAAGACGUGGGGCCGCCUUCCGGACGGAGACUCGGUCAGACACACGGCUCCUUCAAAGGGAGUGCCAAAGGCCUUGAAGAGUAGACGGUCAAAGUGGCACAGCCAGGAAAGCAGGACUCACAGAAUGGGCAGCAUGAAGAGUUGCAUAGCCACGGACUAUUGAGAACGCAGACCCAGAACUGUUACCGCACUCAGACGUCAAAAACCGAGAGCUAUUCCCGAGCACAGACCGAGGACCAGCGAGUCCAGGACUCGCUGAUGCAGAGCUCCAGGACUGACAGGCGGGGAGAGCGAGAGGAAAAGCUGAGGCCAAGCGCGAUGCUGAGAAGCUCCAUAUUCUGUUUAACAGGAGUCUGAGGACCAGGAAAGAGAGAAUAUUGAGGGGAAGAUAAUGGAGACAUCCUAGAAGAUCGUCUCCCCGAGCACAGAGCGCAUCACAGGACUGACCAGUAUUGAGUGGGCGCGGGGAAAACAUGGCUGCCAGGACCUGUGAGGACCGAGUUUCAGAUACUGUGGACAGCGGAGACUCCACAGGGGCUCUGCAGGAGGAGACGGGAGGCGAUAGCCCCUGCAAAGCUCUGGCUGGUGAUUGGCAUCAGACUUCUCAAUGAGAAACUGUACUCUAGAUUUAAUUAGAACAGUAUCUUCAAAAUACUCGGGAAAAAUGAUUUCAAACCUGGAAUUGUAGACACAGACAGACUAGAAUUCAAAUUGAAGGGCAAAGGAAAAGUGUCUUCAGAUAGUGAAGGACUCAGAGGUUACCAGCCUCAUCCCUAAUACCCUGACAAAACUAAAAAAAAGACAACUAUCUAUGAAAGAAAACAAGUUUUGAUUCCACAAAUAAUGGAGAGG